CCUACGGGAGGCAGCAGUGAGGAAUAUUGGUCAAUGGACGAGAGUCUGAAGCAGCCAAGUCGCGUGAAGGAUGACUGCCCUCUGGGUUGUAAACUUCUUUUAUCUGGGAAUAAAAUGUUCCACGUGUGGGAUUUUGUAUGUACCAUAUGAAUAAGGAUCGGCUCACUCCGUGCCAGCAGCCGAGGUAAUACGGAGGAUACGAGCGUUAUCCGGAUUUGAUGGGUGUAAAGGGAGCGUAGGUGGAUUGUUAAGUCAGUUGUGAAAGUUUGCGGCUCAACCGGAAAAUUGCAGUUGACACUGGCAGUCUUGAGUACAGUAGAGGUGGGUGGAAUUCGAUGUGUAGCGGUGAAAUGCUUAGAUAUCUCGAAGAACUCCGAUUGCGAAGGCAGUUCCCUGGACUGCAACUGACACUGAGGCUCGAAAGUGUGGGUAUCAAACAGGAUUAGAUACCCCAGUAGUC
Molecule: ribosomal RNA, 460 nt
Filed under: uncultured bacterium
Lineage: Bacteria
Description: partial 16S ribosomal RNA
Rfam family: Bacterial small subunit ribosomal RNA
Source: RNAcentral